UUUCUGCACCUCUAGUUUCUUUUCUGGCUGAUGAUGCCAAAAAGGAUAAGUUGUGGGGUCCAUUGAUAUCUUGAUUUGGUUAUUCUGCUUUGAGAUGGACUCUGAUUUUAAUGCAAGAUCUGAUGACUCCGGAUGACAAAUCCUGCUGAAUCGGACUCAACCAAUUUCACUUAAUUUGACCUUUAAAACAUGAUUAAGCCCA
This 202-nucleotide long non-coding RNA is filed under the name Elaeis guineensis (African oil palm). Its description in RNAcentral is "long non-coding RNA (EGUI_LNC040250)". The record is from RNAcentral. Lineage: Eukaryota; Viridiplantae; Streptophyta; Magnoliopsida; Arecales; Arecaceae.